CCAAUAGCGUAUAUUAAAGUUGUUGCAGUUAAAAAGCUCGUAGUUGAACUUCAGGCCUGGCUGGACGGUCCGCCUUCCGGGCGAGUACUGUCUGUGGUCGGGUCCUACCUUCUGGCGAAGCGUUAUGGCCUUAACCGGCUGUGGCGGGGAACCUGGACUUUUACUGUGAAAAAAUUAGAGUGUUCAAAGCAGGCAAUUCGCUUGGAUACAUUAGCAUGGAAUAAUGGAAUAGGACAAUGGUUCUAUUUGUUGGUUUCUAGGACUGUUGUAAUGAUUAAUAGGGAUAGUUGGGGGCAUUAGUAUUCAAUUGUCAGAGGUGAAAUUCUUGGAUUUAUUGAAGACUAACUACUGCGAAAGCAUUUGCCAAGGAUGUUUUCAUUAAUCAAGAACGAAAGUUAGGGGAUCGAAGACGAUCAGAUACCGUCGUAGUCUUAACCAUAAACUAUGCCGACUAGGAAUCGGGCGAUGUUGACAAAAUGACGCGCUCGGCACCUCAUG
This 498-nucleotide ribosomal RNA is filed under the name uncultured Glomeromycotina. Its description in RNAcentral is "partial small subunit ribosomal RNA". It matches the Rfam family "Eukaryotic small subunit ribosomal RNA", at positions 591 to 1092 of the family's 1831-position model. The record is from RNAcentral. Lineage: Eukaryota; Fungi; Glomeromycota.